Molecule: long non-coding RNA, 789 nt
Organism: Acromyrmex echinatior (Panamanian leafcutter ant)
Lineage: Eukaryota; Metazoa; Arthropoda; Insecta; Hymenoptera; Formicidae
Source: RefSeq, a predicted model, not a curated record
UUUGAUCAUAGUUGGCGUUUCUUAUUUAAUUGGUUCAUUCACAUAUUAUUCUACAUACAAUACCUCUCUUUCAAGACUUCGCGCACGUAGUUCAUUGGUAAAUUUAAUUUUGCAGAAAGCAAGUCCAUAAUUUUCAGAUAUAAUGAUAUAAAGCUGCAAAAGAUACUCGUAAUAUUUAAGAGCCAUCACUUCAAGAUAUCGUCUUUGUGAUUCUCUCUCUUUGUGAUUUGAUUCUCGCAUAACGUCAUCGGAAAAUAACCGGACAUCUAAAAACAACUUAUCUUGAUGACAUUUGCUAUUUUUAUGGCAAAUCCAAUAUAUUCCUGCCGACUUCGUCGCCGACGGUCGGGUUGAAAAAUUCAUAAGACCCGAUCGACCGCGCCGAGUGUUGUCGCCCGACUCUCGUCAGUGCGUCGCCUCGUUUCGCGUGCAGCAUUGUGUGCGGAACAAUGCACGGCUCCGGCGAUUAUAUGCCGCUUUGUGUCCGAUAGAUUCUUACGCUCUUACAUAUUUCAUGUCGAGCUCUCCGCUUUUCCCCGCGUCGUGCCAUUAAAAGUUUCUAUGACUGCCAAGUGGUUCGUUUCGCGGUUUCUUCCUCGUAUUCGCCCCGCAUCGUCAGAAUUAAUCAUCUCUAUCUUCUUCCCUCAAUCUGGGCUUUCUUUCAGACCAAUGGUUGCAGCUACUGAUAUUCGAAGACGGAGACGGAGCUACCUCUCAAUAUAUUUAGUUUUCAGAUAUUUUUAGUUUUUAAGUUGUAAAUAAAAAUUGAAUAAAUAAUGUUGGGACGCA